RNAcentral lists this long non-coding RNA (2624 nucleotides) under Callithrix jacchus (white-tufted-ear marmoset). RNAcentral describes it as "lncRNA (ENSCJAG00000062325.2)". The record is from RNAcentral. Lineage: Eukaryota; Metazoa; Chordata; Mammalia; Primates; Cebidae.
GCAUAAUGUGUGCGUCUGUGUAUGGUGCUUUAUGAUCUAAUGAUGCUUUAAUUAAGCUGAUAUUCAGAUAAGCGUCAAUGCUCAGAGCUCCCUGGAGAUGCAGCUUAUGGAACAGCAGAUGACGGGGAAGGGUGGGCGAUGAUUAAAACAUCACAUGGGAUAAAUGUCAAAGUAGAGGUCCCACCCAGGAGAGUUAUGAAUUGACUGCACCGCUUCUCAUCUCCACCCCCUCAAUCAUUGCUGAUGGGCAGAGGGAAACCAUUUUCUGCCAUCUGGUUUUUGCAAAAGUCAGGCAGUAAGCUCUUUGGGACAAGGAUCUUAUCUUGUGUAGUUCAAGAGUGAGCACAUGGCUGUGUACACUCACAGACAGCCCUGUUAGUACCGAAUGCAAUCAUAAAAAUAGCCCAGCCAUGGACCUUUGAUAACAUCCCUGCCGUGGGCUCAAACCUGAGUCACUGUGUCUGAAGGGCACUGGGUUCCCCAGGCUGAUGCCUUAUGUCUUGCAAACGAGCAGCACAUCAGCUGAUAAGGUGACUGGGCCAUUGUGAAAAUCAUACAGUAGUUCCUACAAUGCUGGAAAAACAGCCGUUAAACCACAACUUAUUUUUCCCUUGGUGUUUGGUUUUGGCAAUGCAUUCUUUUCAAAUGAGAACUAUGCCAAACAUUUUGUAUGAACACUUCGAGUCAGCAAGUAUGUGAAUGACCUCUCUAUGACAUGCCAGGAGACAGGAGAGGAAGAGUUGUGGCCGAAGCAUGCUGGGCUCAGAACUCUUGCUCUGCAGGAAUGAGACAGCUCAGAGCAGCAUCUGGAAGCUGGCCAUGGACAGAACAACUCACAGGGCACAGCAAGGUGUCACAGCUCUUCUAGGAUCACUGGCCAGGCCACCUCAGACAGAUCUCUAUGAUUUUCAGAAAAGUGUGCAGACUUUAGGUGAAUGCUUCAUUGUUUGGGGAUCCGGAACUGAAUUCUCCUCCAGGACUAGCUAUGAAAUCACUGGAGGACAACAGGAGAGAGCUCAUGGGGUGCUGUGUGUGUUGGUUAAAAAUGGACAGAUGUGCAUGCCAUCCUGGGCACGUGUCCAUUCUACAUGGGAAUGGUCAUGGGAUGAACGCAGCAGUCUGGCACUAGAGACAGACCUGGCACCAGGAUUUCCUGAGGAAGAAGUCCCCCUCUUGAAUUUCAAACUUCAUGAAGGCAAGCCUUCUUUACUCGUGUCUGCUGUUCCAAUGUCCAGCACAACACUUUGCAUGUAGGAGUAUUUUUCUCAAAACCUGUGUCGAUUUGAUUCCGGCUCUGUCACCAGGCUGGAGUGCAGUGGCAAGAUCUCGGCUCAUCACAAAACUCUGCCUCUCUGGUUCAAGCAAUUCUCUGCCUCAGCCUCCUAAGUUGCUGGGAUAACAGGUGCCCACCACCACACCAGGCUAAUUUUUUGUAUUUUUAGUAGAGACGGUGUUUUGCCAUCCUGGCCAGGCUGGUCUUAAACUCCUGAUCUCAUGAUCCACCUGCCUCAGCCUCCCAAAGUGCUGGGAUUACAGGUGUGAGAUUUAUUAUUCUUUUUUAUUUCCCAUAGUGCUCAGAAUACACUGCUAAGUAGUCAAUAAAUGCUACUCAAUUGAGUAAAACCUUCAGUGAAACUGGACUGACUGAUUCAACAGGGUGUUUUUAGAUUUAUCCUGUACACACAGAAUUAGACCAUCCCAUGGGAUUGCUAUGAUGAAGAACAGAACGCUUCCCUGGGAUGGAUGAAAAGGAGAAUCACCCCAAACAACAAGACAACCAAGCUAUGAGCCGGCACGCUCCUAUCUGCAUGACUGAUAAAGACCAUCUGAUGCCGCCAGUUAUUCAGCGAGGUCAUUCUCUCCACAAAGUCACAAUAUUUAUUUUAACGCCAGUGACUAUUGAGUGUGUGUGUAUAUCUAUGUAGUGAUAAAACACUGCCGUAAUGUGUACACAGGGUCUGAACAAGAUCAAUUCAUCAGGACAAUCAUGCAGCCUACAUGUGAGAGAGGUUGUUUAUGCAGUGGGCUGAUAGAAUACCAUAAUACAAGCCACAGAGAAGCACUGUCUAAUGUUCAUAAUGCAUGCUAUAUAUUUCACAAUAUGGGCAUUAUAUAAAUAAUUAAUAGUGUGGACUAGAGAUAGCACUGAUAGGAAGGAGAGAGACAGCAUUAGAGAAAGUCUGCUCGAAUACUCCACUCUAACGAGUGGGAUAGAAACGUUUCACCAAGCACAUCACAUGUUUUAGGGAUUCUUUUUAUCAAGCAUUGUCUUGUGGAAUGGCGAAUUUUUCUUCUCAGUGACUGCUAGUCAUACAUAUACAAUUUUGAAGUGUUUUAUUUGUAAGUUUAGAAAAAACUGUUUCCACUGUCUAUGUGUAUGAAAGUCAAUGUAGAAAGAUUGCCCCAUGAAACAGGACAAUAAAAUGCAACUGUUUAAACUGCUUAGAUGCCAGUGUUUUUCUCAGAAAUGUUAUAUUCAGGAAUACAGUAAGCUUAAUUGGCAAGAUAUUGACUAGGCUAUAUGUAAUUUAUCUUUCAACCAUUACUAUGUGUUUCCCCAAAUACCCUGUUGGCUACCUAGAGAGGAGCACUAUACUGAUGAGCACGAGCUCAGGUCCCCAAGG